GAGACCAGCUUGAAGAGAAGGACAGGCUGGAGGCCGGCAGCUGGAGGCUGGACUUCGAGUCACAGUCAGUCCACGAAGAGAUUUAUUGGGGCUGCUUCUACUUCUUCCCGUGGCUCAGAAUGUGUAAGAAGGACAAAAGGGAGCCCCCCUCAUAGCGUGGCUCCCGCCCCCAGCAGCAGAUCGCAAAGGACCCCCCCCCGGUUCGAGGAGCCAGAAUCUGUUGCUACGACCUACUGUUAGUCCCUGUGCCGACCGUCCAGAUAUAUUGGUGCAAACGUCUCCUGGAACCUCACCAUUAAAGUUUCCCCAGAUCUC
Non-coding RNA from Pogona vitticeps (central bearded dragon), 315 nucleotides. The record is from RefSeq and is a predicted model, not a curated record. NCBI's taxonomy places the organism in Eukaryota, Metazoa, Chordata, Lepidosauria, Squamata, Agamidae.